GACGUAGGGGGCCAGCGUUGUUCGGAAUUACUGGGUGUAAAGGGUUCGUAGGCGGUGUGGCAAGUCGGGAGUGAAAUCUCUGGGCUCAACUCAGAGACUGCUUCCGAAACUGCUGUGCUGGAGUGUGGGAGAGGCGCGUGGAAUUGCAGGUGUAGCGGUGAAAUGCGUAGAUAUCGGGAGGAACACCUGUGGCGAAAGCGGCGCACUGGACCACAACUGACGCUGAGGCGCGAAAGCUAGGGGAGCAAACAGG
Molecule: ribosomal RNA, 253 nt
Filed under: uncultured bacterium
Lineage: Bacteria
Description: partial 16S ribosomal RNA
Rfam family: Bacterial small subunit ribosomal RNA
Source: RNAcentral